Molecule: ribosomal RNA, 497 nt
Filed under: uncultured bacterium
Lineage: Bacteria
Description: partial 16S ribosomal RNA
Rfam family: Bacterial small subunit ribosomal RNA
Source: RNAcentral
GAUGAACGCUGGCGGCGUGCCUAAUACAUGCAAGUCGAGCGAACGGACGAGAAGCUUGCUUCUCUGAUGUUAGCGGCGGACGGGUGAGUAACACGUGUAUACCCUACCUAUAAGACUGGGAUAACUUCGGGAAACCGGAGCUAAUACCGGAUAAUAUUUUGAACCGCAUGGUUCAAAAGUGAAAGACGGUCUUGCUGUCACUUCUAGAUGGUUCCGCGCUGCUUUAGCUAGUUGGUAAGGUAACGGCUUACCAAGGCAACGAUGCAUAGCCGACCUGAGAGGGUGAUCGGACACACUGGAACUGAGACACGGUCCAGACUACUACGGGAGGCAGCAGUAGGGAAUCUUCGGCAAUGGGCGAAAGCCUGACGGAGCAACGCCGCGUGAGUGAUGAAGGUCUUCGGAUCGUAAAACUCUGUUAUUAGGGAAGAACAGAUGUGUAAGUAACUGUGGACAUCUUGACGGUACCAAAUCAGAAAGCCACGGCUAACUACGUG